This is a long non-coding RNA of Acinonyx jubatus (cheetah), 1808 nucleotides long. RefSeq lists it as uncharacterized. The transcript is spliced from 9 exons. NCBI's taxonomy places the organism in Eukaryota, Metazoa, Chordata, Mammalia, Carnivora, Felidae. The record is from RefSeq and is a predicted model, not a curated record.
CUCGCCCGGGAGAGACGGGCGCGCUCCCGCCGCCGCCCCGCCCCCGAAUUCGAUCGGAAAAGGGAGGGGCCGAGCGGCGCCAGCUAUGGGGCCGCACCCAUUGGCUCCCACGAGGCGCCUGCGCGUUGAGCUCUGUGGGCUUCUUGCCUAUGGGCAAGUGAGACUACGCCGUGACGUCGACGUUGCCCUGGCAACCUAGGGACGCUCUUAGAGUUGUUGGACCGCCCAACCCGUGACUUGCGCUCUGUAAGGUCAUGACCUGUGUGUGCGGAAAAAGCCCAAAAUGAGCCUGGUUUAAGAGCUACCACAGGUGCUGGACUCUUCCAGAAAACCUGUCGCGUCCGUUUGGUCUCCUUUAUAACACCGUUAACUGGUUGGAAUAUACCAAUAAAUAUGCUGUUACUGCUCAAACAAACCACUUCCUUGUGUUGCCAUCUUCAAUCAAAAUGUAGACUGCUAUAGAUAACUUGGAAAACACAGAAAACAACAACAAAAAGGUCAUCUGUGAUCAUGCCCUAGAGAGAACUACUUUUGAUAUUAAGCUGGGGAGGAUGAAGAUCUAGCACCACACACUAUCUUCUUACCUUCCCAUUCUGCUUUCAACAUAAACCAGAGACCAUUAGGAACACAGCUGAAAGCAAGUUAAAUUUAUUAUUUUCUGCAACAAAGAAGACCCUACAUCAUAGAGAGCAAAGACAAUAUCAAACAGUCAGAAGUCCUGCUAGGCUUUUUUGUGAUCAAUUUUGGAAUCAAUAUAACAGGCCUCUGUAACUGCUGCCAGCAGUUUCUGAUUCAUCAAAGACAUCACUCUCAAGGCUGGUUGGUUGGCCAGAGUUUCUCAUCAAGGAGUACAUGCUGUUUGCUCCCCAGAUGGACAGCCUGGAUGAGCUACAAAUCCACAGAGCCUGGGACACAAGAAAUUCCAAUGCUCAACAAAUGCUGCAAGUAGGUCAAACCUUCACUGGAAAACCAGGUUGGGUUGCAGACACCAGAUGACAGGAGGGGCAGUGACAGAUUGGAGUGACCCAGAGUACUGGAACAAUGAUGGCAAACCUAACAAGUCAGUUCCAUAACAUGUUUGCCAUGGAGAGGGAGGAAAAGGAAGUCAAUGUGAGGACACCCCCAGACAAGAUUCCAUGUCCUCUCCUCUGGAGCCACAGCAUUCCUGUGAACACACCCUGCUCAGCUCUGUGUGACUUGGGACAGUUAUAAAGCCACUCAGAGAUUUAAUUCCUUCUUUCAUGAAAUGGACAUAAUAUACCUAUCUUUCAAGUUUCUCUGGAGGAAUGGCAUAAAGUUACAUAAAGUCAUGGUCUUACUCCUGUAUGCUCAGUGGAUGGGGUUUAAUAAAUAUUUCUUAUAUCUGAAUCUGAAUGUCAAAGCCUCAUGCUGGGGUGGGUGAUAGAGAGAGACAGCUCUUGCUCUUUGGGGUUAGAGUAUCUCCUGGUAGAGGAGAUUACCUCUCCUCUGAGACAGAUGACUCAGCAGCCCUCUGUGAGCCCACUGCCUGCUGGACACAGUGACUGAGUGCUGAGGAAAGCAAUGAAUAAAAGAACCCCCUCCCCCAUGGAGCUUAUGGCCUAGUUGGAGACAGGGACAUUCAAAUAAACAAAUUACCAUCCAGAUGCUAAGGGAAACAACUAAAUCAUGCACAGGGGAGAGAGAUAACACACAGAAAAAGUAAGGCCAUGGGUUAAUCUGGCCUGCUGCCUGUUUCUGUAAAUAAAAUUCAUUGGAACACAUCUAUGUUCAUUUGUUCAUGUAUUGUCUUCAGCCACUUUUGCCCUAAAGUGGCAGAGUUGAGUAUA